GGCGAGAUGGCCGAGCGGUCUAAGGCGCCAGACUAAGGAGACCAGCGCAUUGUAUGCGCUCUAAAUCUGGUCCGAACAGGGCGUGGGUUCGAAUCCCACUCUCGUCA
Paramarasmius palmivorus is the source of this 107-nucleotide non-coding RNA. The record is from the annotation of a GenBank genome assembly. Lineage: Eukaryota; Fungi; Basidiomycota; Agaricomycetes; Agaricales; Marasmiaceae.